Apis dorsata (giant honeybee) is the source of this 991-nucleotide long non-coding RNA. RefSeq lists it as uncharacterized. The transcript is spliced from 2 exons. Lineage: Eukaryota; Metazoa; Arthropoda; Insecta; Hymenoptera; Apidae. The record is from RefSeq and is a predicted model, not a curated record.
UCGAAAAGUUCGGAUUCAAUGAAAUUCAGUGAAAUUGAAUAUUCGGAUCGAGGAAGAACUCGGAGAGAGAAAGAGAGAGAGAGAGAGACUCGAGGAUGAUGUUGACUCAUUUACGUGUACACGGUGAUCGCGGAUCGGCUCGAUGACUAAUCCCGAUCCGGACAAGGGUAACCACUUUCAAGCAAUACCGAAAUAACGGUCAUCGGCGGGAAGGCAAAUUAACCUGGCCGACUUCGAGCGACCGCUACCGUGGAAAAAAAUCGGAAAUCACAAUGGUCGAUCCUUAAACGGUCGCGCGGCAUUUAAUUUCACUCGGCCCUGGUCGUUUUCACCGUAUAAUUCCGAUCGUCGAUCGUUCCGACGAGCCGCGAACAAAGAGAGGAUCUUUGGAUAAAUAGCAGGCGUGCUCGUCCUCCGGUUUCCGCCACGAUUUAACGGGAGUUAAUACUGUAACAAGGACAACGAUUUCAUAUAAUUUCUUUAUUCUGUCUACGAUCGGUGUGUGUGUGUGUGCGGUGAGAAAUUUAAAUGAGAAACGUUGAAGGAACGAUCGAUAAUUAUUCCAAUUUUAUAGAUUUUAUUGAAAAGAUUCGUGCAUACGUAUAUUUUAUAACAAUUGCGUCGUGUUAUCGAGCUACUUUCCGAGACCGUAUCUCAUUUAAGAUUACGAGGUGAAAAAAUGGCCGUCUUAUGCAAUCUUGAACAAGACUUUAUCAUCCUGUAUUAUCGAGGCGGUUUUAUAAAAUUCGUUUUUACCUCGAACCAAUUAACUGGCGAAUUUAUAUAUCUUCCGAAUAUUCUUCCGAAAUAUAAUCCGAAGCAUCCUUUUCUUAACGCAUGUAUACACGCCUCGCAUCGAUAUUAAAAAUAAAUGGCGUUCAAGAAAGCCGUACCGAUACUCGAACCCGAUAAAUAAGAACUUUAACUUUCCCGUUCUAAAAUUCAGCAAGGGAAUUAAUAACCGCUAUCGCGUAAAAACGUAAUUAAAAGC